AAAAUGUCAUUUUAUAACCCCAAAAAAUGGCCUAAAAUAAGCUUCCAGCAUCAGGAAAGAUACGCGAGGGAAUAAUUACAUUAAACAUCAGACUCAAUUCUAAGCACAACUUUUCAGCUGAGCAUUGUCCACACUUUUGCGUAUCAAUUCAAGUAGCUCUUCCUCCAUUUCCUCCUUUUCACGACUCAUUUCUUUGACUUCUUCCUCCAUUGCCUCCCUGCAAGCAGACUAAUUACAUUACAACUUUUACAUUGUAAUAAACCUCGUCAUUUUCUUCUCUUCCUGACAAGGAGUGAAAAAGUUGCUGGCACAAAAUUAUUUAAGAGUUCGCCAAGAAAACAGAAUAAGAUGCAUAAACUCAGUAACCCACUCACAAGUUCUACUGGAACCCUUGUAUACAACUAAUUGAUAUAAUGAAGGAAGUCAACUUGACUGGAAGAUAAGUGAAUAGAAGGAAGUCUGGAGAAGAAGGUUAAUACCACUUUGUCCCCCCAAACUUUGGACGAUUACCCACUUCAGUCCCUAAACUUCAAAAUGGGACACUUAAGUCCCUAAACUUAUAAAUAACUCCCACUUAAGGAAAAUUGUUAACAAAUCUUGAAUAUCGUUGGUGGUCGAAGUGUUCCAUUUUAUAAGAGUUUAGGGAUUUAAGUGUCCCAUUUUAUAAGUUUAGGAACUUAAGUGGGAGGUAUUUAUAAGUUCAGGGACUUAAGUGUCUCAUUUUGAAGUUUAGGGACUGAAGUGGGUAAUCGUCUAAAGUUUGGAGGGACAAAGUGGAAUUAACCCGGAGAAGAACUAGGAAGGAGAAACAAUAUUUUAGGCAGGAACACUUCUUAUAAGAUCGAUCCCUUCACAACUACUGGUGUGUGUGUACUUGUGUGUGGGAGAGAGAAGAGAGGGAGAACUGAGAAGAAAGCAAGAAACGCCUACACAUUUAAUAAGAGGCCAAUAUAAAAGACACCUACAUAGACCCAAAUUUGGGGCAAUCGCUACUAAACAGUUUAAGUCCUUUUCAACAGAUUGUAAUUGAGUUCAAAUUAAAUAACAUGCAUUAUAUUGAAACAAAAAUGAUAGUUGAAUACGUUCAUGUAGACUCAUCCAUUUCAAUAAUGCAUGAUAUUAGAUGAGACUUAUAUCAUGGUUCAAAGGAAUGGUUGCGGUCGUGGUCAGAGCAACCACUAUUCUGUGCCAGUCACGGCAAAAUCGUUACAAUUCAGAGAUGUAUAGUUGCUAUAUUAAGGGAGGUAGGGUUGGAUUGGGUGAAAUUGGACAAGGAGUAUAAGUGAGAGGUCUUAGAUUCAAGAUCCCCUACUUACACUAAAAAAAUAUAAAAAAUUAAAGAAUAGUUGCUAUAUAAAUUAUUCAUUAAAAAAUACAUAAUUUGUCUUAAAAUUCAUUCUCUAUCCUUGUUAUAGAAACAACAUUAUGAACUCACAACAAAAUACAUUUGUAUCCCAUCAUGGAACAGUUCUAUUUUUUAAAAAUUUGAGAAAAUAAAGAUUUUGUUUGUAUUUUUUUUUAUUUUUCACCCUUAUUGUGGACUGUAAGAUUAUAAAUUGAUAUUUCACUAACCAUUACGUAUUUCAAACUACAAUAAACAUUGAUUUCAAUAUACUAAAUAUUCUUAUGCAUUUCUAUUCAAAAUUGUAAGAAAGAGCUCAUUGGUUAGAUUUUAAAACAUUUAAAAUUCUAAAAUAACAUUCUAAGAAGUUUUGGUUUUCAAAGUUGGGUUAAAAAAUAAGAAGCAUGAAAUUACCUAUGAAGUUUUUAAAACUUCCAAGUAGCUUAGGGAAUAAUUUAAAUUUUAGAUUAGAGAUACUAAAAAAAAGUCUUACAAAGAAUAAUGGGGAAAAUCUAAUAUCCAUGAUAACUAUCAGCAUUUAGAGAUUAUACUAGGCGGGGAUCACCGCGCAUUCUUACCUAUGAAGUUUUUAAAACUUCCAAGUAGCUUAGGGAAUCAUUAAAAUUUUAGAUUAGAGAUACUAAAAAAAAGUCUUACAAAGAAUAAUGGGGAAAAUCUAAUAUCCAUGAUAACUAUAAGCAUUUAGAGAUUAUACUAGGAGGGGAUCACCGUGCGAAUGCGCGGUGUGAAAUUAAUAGGUAGUAUGCCCACCAUUGUAAUAGUUUUUUAAAAAACAAAAUAGAUAAUCCAUAAUUAGGAGUAAUGACCAAAAUAAGUUAUAAAACUAUAUUGGCCAAAUAUGUUGAGUCAAGGCCAAGUAUAUUAAUAAAGAAUACAGUUAAAAAAAAAACUUCUAUAAAUUAUUACAAGUUGUAUGCAUAAUUGGAUACUAAGUGUUUACUAACUAUGGUUCAAGCUUGCAUUUCUCAAUCUCUUUACAAUGCCGAAUAUCGUUCAAGAGUUUAUUUGUCUUCCUCUUCCUAGAGCUUAUUCGAAUAAUCUCCUACUGCCAUGUUUUUAUCCUGCACAAGAGGUAAUGCAAUUUUAUGUUUAAGCCAUAUGAAUUUUAUGUAUCAUUAAGGAUAUAAUUUGGACAGAGUAAUAAAUGAACUACUCUGAUGGAACUAAAAGGAAUAUAAUAUUAGAGUAUAAAUUGAGUUAGAAUUGGCCCAUCAGGAAGCAAAUAAAACUACUUUCUCCGCUAUAAAAUAUGCAAUUUGCUGGUAGCUAUGCUUGAUAUGCACAUGCAAUGGUGAUAACGUUCUUUAUUGCCAUGGCCUUGUAUGUGUCAAAAUCAACUGUAAAUUAAGUUCUUGUAUGUUGAAACCAAAACUUUACGCAUUAGACAAAAUUAAGAAUGACACCAUGUAAAAAUAGGAACGAAAUAUGUGAUAAGUUUUGAAGCCAAAAAUAUUGAAAUUUGAGAAAUAAAAAUGAAAGAACUAACAUUUCCAUGGGAAACAAAUACGAAAAAAAAAUUAUUGAUUAAGUAAAGAGGCCAAUCGAUCUCACAAUUAUUGAUCACUAUACCAGGGAAAGAUAAAUGAUAGCAAAUAGUAAAAUAGUUCAUAUCCACAUUGUUUGUGAUUGGAAAACCAUACCUUGCUUCUUGAUAACAAUUCAUGAGAAAAGUCUGGUAGUAGCCAGCCAACUCAAGUAGUUCAUCAACUUUCUCACUUUUCUUCCCAAAAUUUCAAAAGCAAAUUCAGUAAGUACUAUAUGAUUGAUAGCAACAAGUGAUUAUUCAAAAAACAAUGAGUGAAGGAAAUGCAAAGGGAUUUAGAAAUUUGAGGGAUGAAAGCAAAUGAUCCUAAGAGGGUUCAGCACAUGCAGUCCUCAACCAAAAGAUGUUGAAUUUAGGCAAAGACUUGCUAUUCAUCAAGAAUGACAGUAAUACCUAUACAUUAUUUGGAAACAAGCACAAUCAAGUCAUCCAUGUGGUUUCCAUCAUUUAAUAGAAAGGCAAUGAGCAGACAGGAUGACUUGGAAUUGAAGAAAAAAUCAAGUUAACAGGAAUACCUAAAACCAAGAAAAAAUGUAAACCACUGACCAACUUGAUAUGAACUAUUCAAACUAUCAAUGAAAUAGCAAGUUGAAGUUCCCAUGGAUUACAUCAUCUUCAUUAAGAAAAGGCAUAAGAUCAUUCCAUGCAAUCUCGGACCAAUCAGUAAAGUCAAGAUCAACUGAAAGCUUUUAAUGCAUAACUUAUUAAUACAAUUCCAUAAGGCUUCCACAAAUAUGCCUUUUUAAAAUAGAAACAGGGCUGCAAUGUAACAAUUCUUAGAUCUCGAUUAAAUCGGGAAAUUUGUAUUAUAGGUCCAAUUUAAAACAAAAGCAAAAAAUUUUUUGGUCGAAUAAAUUGAGGAAUUUGUAUCAGUUAAGUUUAUUUAGAAAAAGUAACAAGCAACUGAGGAUAGCAUAAGAUGCAUAAGGUAAAUAAGUACCUAUUUAACUCAAAUUCUGAACUACAUCAAUUCAAAAGAAAACCAUGACUUGCGUUCCGAAUCCAAAGCUAGUUCGAGGGUCUUGUAAAGGGUUUGACUUGGCAUCUGGACUGCUAUAUCCUUCAAUUUUAGCUUGUAAAGAUCCACAUUGACCAUCUUCCAGUAGCUCAAAGACAAUAGUGCCAGGCUAAUUGUGAUAUUUCCAUCACCACAUACCUCAACUAAUUUUUUUCACCGUAAGGUGUCAAUUUAGAUUCUUUAUCCACUUCUUCACCUUGAAAUCCAU
This 4132-nucleotide long non-coding RNA is filed under the name Coffea arabica (coffee). Its description in RNAcentral is "long non-coding RNA (CARA_LNC002980)". Lineage: Eukaryota; Viridiplantae; Streptophyta; Magnoliopsida; Gentianales; Rubiaceae. The record is from RNAcentral.